Molecule: ribosomal RNA, 484 nt
Filed under: uncultured bacterium
Lineage: Bacteria
Description: partial 16S ribosomal RNA
Rfam family: Bacterial small subunit ribosomal RNA
Source: RNAcentral
AUUGAACGCUGGCGGCAGGCCUAACACAUGCAGGUCGAGCGGAUGAGGGUAGCUUGGUCCGGGAGGCAGGGGCGGACGGGUGAGUAAUGCCUAGGGAUGGGGGGGGUAGUGGGGGAGAACGUCCGGGAACGGGGGCUAAUAGGGCAGACGGCGUUAGGGAGAAAGGGGGGGGUCGUCGGACAGGGGGCCAGGAUAGGAGCCUAGGUCGGAUUAGCUAGUUGGUGGGGUAAAGGCCUACCAAGGCGACGAGGCGUAACUGGUCUGAGAGGGUGAUCAGGCACCCUGGAUCUGAGACGCGGUCCAGACUGCUAAGGGAGGCAGCCGUGGGGACUAUUGGACGAUGGGCGAGUGCCUGAUCCAGCCAUGCCGCGUGUCUGAAGAAGGUCUUCGGAUUGUCAAGCACUUUAAGUUGGGAGGCAGGGCAGUAAGUUAAUAGGUUGCUGUUUUGACGUUACCCACAGAAUAAGCGCCGGCUAACUUCGUG